Molecule: ribosomal RNA, 916 nt
Filed under: metagenome
Description: bacterial SSU rRNA
Rfam family: Bacterial small subunit ribosomal RNA
Source: RNAcentral
AGAGUUUGAUCCUGGCUCAGAAGGAACGCUGGCAGCGUGCAUAACACAUGCAAGUCGAACGCGGAAGGAUCCUUCGGGAUUUGGAAGAGUGGCGAACGGGUGAGGAACACGUAAGAAUCUACCUUUCGGUUGGGGAUAACUUCUGGAAACGGGAGCUAAUACCCAAUAUGCUGUGGAGUGAAAGAAUUUCGCCGAGAGACGAUCUUGCGUCUGAUUAGCUUGUUGGAGUGGUAAUGGCACCCCAAGGCGACGAUCAGUAGCUGGUCUGAGAGGAUGGACAGCCACAUUGGGACUGAGACACGGCCCAGACUCCUACGGGAGGCAGCAGUGGGGAAUUUUCCGCAAUGGACGAAAGUCUGACGGAGCGACGCUGCGUGAAGGAUGAAGGCCCGUGGGUUGUAAACUUCUUUUCUCGAAGAAGAAAAAAAUGACGGUAUUCGAGGAAUAAGCAUCGGCUAACUCUGUGCCAGCAGCCGCGGUAAGACAGAGGAUGCAAGUGUUAUUCGGAAUGAUUGGGCGUAAAGAGUCUGUAGGCGGUUUAGAAAGUCUUUUGUGAAAUACUUCAGCUCAACUGAGGCUCCGCAAAAGAAACUUCUAGACUUGAGGAAAGUAGAGGUACAGGGAAUUUCCGGUGGAGCGGUGAAAUGCGUAGAUAUCGGAAGGAACACCAAUAUGGCGAAGGCACUGUACUGGGCUUUUCCUGACGCUCAGAGACGAAAGCUGAAGGAGUGAUUAGGAUUAGAUACCCUAGUAAUUUCAGCCGUAAACGAUGAAAACUCACUGUCGAGCCAAUAUAUGGAGCGGUGGUCAAGCUAACGCGUGAAGUUUUCCGCCUGGGGAUUACGCUUGCAAAAGUGAAACUCAAAGGAAUUGACGGGGACCCGCACAAGCGGUGGAGUAUGUGGUUUAAUUCGAC